This is a long non-coding RNA of Chrysolophus pictus (golden pheasant), 5297 nucleotides long. The record is from Ensembl. NCBI's taxonomy places the organism in Eukaryota, Metazoa, Chordata, Aves, Galliformes, Phasianidae.
AGCGAGGCUCCGUGCAGCCGCUGCCCGGGCUCCGUGGGGCCGCCUUCGCCGCCGGAAGCCCAGCCCCGAAAUGGCGGCGUGCGUUUGACCGGCGGCUCGUUGACGCGGCGAGCGGGGCGGGGGCUGUCCCCUCUCCGAGGUAACGCCGGGGCAGCCGGCGGCGCCAGGCUUUCCCCGAUACCCUGAGAAGUCCUCUGCGGCAGGGGAACGUACACAGACAUUACGUUUUUUUGGAAGUUCUAGAUGUAAAUUCCUGUGAUCCAACCCAAGGAAACAUGAGAAAGCAGGAAGUGAGAUGAGGGAAGAACCUAAGUGUUAGAAAGAGAAAAGGAGAAAGGGGGAAAAAGUCUCAUACAAACCUCAAGCAUAACUGGCCCAGGUUUAUUGCUCAGCAGGAGAGCACCUUUUGCUGGGUCUAGCAUAUGGCCAACAGAAGCUAUGUCAGUGUCUGCAAACUCAGCAAAUUCUGAAGGAAACUGGAUUAGGAAGCCAUUGUAUGGAUUAUUUCAAUACAAUUCCAGUAUGAUUGGACUAGAAUCAUUAGCUGAUCCCACAGACACCUGGGAAAUUAUAGAGACUAUUGGAAAAGGCACUUAUGGUAAAGUCUAUAAGGUUGCCAAUAAGAAAGAUGGGAGUCUGGCAGCAGUAAAGAUUCUCGAUCCUAUUAGUGAUGUUGAUGAAGAAAUUGAAGCAGAAUAUAAUAUUUUGCAGUUUCUUCCCAAUCAUCCUAAUGUUGUUAGAUUUUAUGGGAUGUUCUACAAAGCCGAUCAAUAUGUGGGAGGACAGCUCUGGCUAGUACUUGAGCUGUGCAAUGGAGGGUCUGUCACAGAACUUGUCAAAGGUUUGCUGAAGUGUGGCCAACAAUUGGAUGAAGCUAUGAUCUCAUACAUCUUAUAUGGUGCUCUCUUGGGCCUUCAGCAUUUACACAAUAACCGGAUCAUUCAUCGAGAUGUCAAAGGGAACAACAUUCUUCUGACAACAGAAGGUGGAGUCAAGCUCGUUGACUUUGGUGUUUCAGCCCAGCUCACCAGUACACGGCUACGUAGAAACACCUCAGUGGGAACACCCUUUUGGAUGGCUCCUGAGGUCAUUGCUUGUGAACAGCAGUAUGACUACUCAUAUGAUGCUCGAUGUGACGUAUGGUCUUUGGGAAUAACAGCUAUUGAACUCGGAGAUGGAGACCCUCCUUUAUUUGACAUGCAUCCGGUGAAAACUCUUUUUAAAAUUCCAAGACUACUAUUUCUCUGUCUCAGGUGUCUUAUCAAGGAUUUCGAGAAACGUCCUACAGUCACCCACCUUUUGGAGCAUCCAUUUAUUAAACAAGUGCAUGGUAAAGAUAUGUCUCUGCAAAAACAGUUGGCUGAGCUUAUCCAAGAACAGCAGCGACUAGGCUCUGUAGCAAAAACAAGGCAUGAACGAAUACAUACCAAAAGACCCUACCAUGUGGAUGGAGCUGACAAGUACUCUCAAGAUGAUGAUCUGGUAAAUCUAGAAGUUCUUGAUGAGGAUACAAUUAUCCAUCAGCUGCAGAAACGCUAUGCUGACUUACAAAUUUAUACGUAUGUUGGAGAUAUUUUGAUAGCCUUAAACCCUUUCCAGAAUCUCAGCAUUUACUCUCCACAGUUCUCCAAGCUUUACCAUGGUAUGAAGCGCUCAUCCAAUCCCCCCCACAUAUUUGCCUCUGCAGAUGCUGCCUACCAAAGUAUGGUGACAUUCAGCAAAGAUCAGUGCAUUAUCAUCAGUGGGGAAAGUGGUGCUGGAAAGACAGAAAGUGCCCAUUUGAUCGUCCAACAUUUGACCUUCUUGGGAAAGGCCAAUAAUCGUGCUUUGCGUGAGAAAAUUCUUCAGGUGAAUCCUCUGGUUGAAGCAUUUGGGAAUGCCUGUACUGCCAUCAAUGACAACUCAAGUCGCUUCGGAAAAUAUCUGGAAAUGAUGUUUACACCCACAGGAGCUGUAAUGGGGGCAAAGAUUUCUGAGUAUCUACUUGAAAAGUCAAGGGUUAUAAAACAGGCUGUGGGAGAGAAAAAUUUCCAUAUAUUUUAUUAUAUUUAUGCUGGCCUUUAUCAUCAGAAGAAACUUUCUGAAUAUAGGCUUCCUGAAAAAAAGCCUCCUAGAUACAUUGAUAAUGAAACUGGAAGAGUAAUGCAUGAUAUUGUUACUAAGGAUUCCUAUGGAAGACAAUUUGAAGCAAUUCAGCAUUGCUUUAGAAGUAUAGGAUUCACUGAUGAGGAAGUGUAUUCAGUGUACAGAAUUCUGACUGGUAUCUUAAAUACUGGAAACAUCGAGUUUGCUGCCAUUUCUUCACAACACCAAACAGAUAAAAGUGAAGUUCCAAACCCAGAAGCCUUAGAUAAUGCUGCUGCACUGCUAAGUAUUGGGUCAGAAGAACUGCAAGAGGCCCUAACCUCCCACUGUGUUGUAACACGGGGGGAGACUAUUAUCCGAACAAACACUGUGGACAAAGCAGCUGACGUGCGAGAUGCCAUGUCUAAAGCACUUUAUGGCAGACUCUUCAGCUGGAUCGUAAAUCGCAUUAAUACGCUUCUUCAGCCAGAUAAAAAUAUAUGCAAUACUGAAAAUGGAAUGAAUGUUGGUAUACUAGAUAUAUUUGGAUUCGAGAACUUCGCAAGGAAUUCCUUUGAACAGCUGUGCAUAAAUAUUGCUAAUGAGCAGAUCCAGUUUUAUUUCAAUCAACAUAUUUUUGCACUUGAACAGAUGGAAUAUCAGAAUGAGGGAAUUGAUGCUGCUACAGUGGAGUAUGAAGACAACCGUCCACUUCUAGAUAUGUUCCUCCAGAAACCCAUGGGUCUCCUUUCUCUACUAGAUGAAGAAAGUCGAUUUCCUCAGGCAACAGACCUAACAUUAGUUGAUAAAUUUGAAGAUAACUUACGAUGCAAAUACUUCUGGAGACCAAAAGGAGUAGAAUUGUCAUUUGGUAUUCAGCACUAUGCUGGAAAGGUGAGGUCGUGUGAUUUUUAUUUAGUUAAAAUCAUAGUUUUUGUCCCUGCUGACAUAGUGGUGGUGCUGAGAACCUCAGAGAACAAACUUCUUCAGCAGCUGUUUUCUAGCCCACUAACCAAAACAGGUAACUUGGCACAGGCAAGAGCCAGAGUGACAGCGGCAUCUAGGUCUUUGCCUCCACAGCUUAGUGCUGGGCGUAUCAAGGUUGACACAAUGGAGGUUAUGCGACACCCUGAGGAAACAACUAACAUGAAGCGACAAACUAUGGCUUCCUAUUUUAGGUAUUCCCUCAUGGAUCUUCUAUCCAAAAUGGUUGUUGGACAGCCUCACUUUAUCCGCUGCAUUAAACCUAAUGAUGAUCGAGAAGCACUAACAUUUUCUCAUAAGAGAGUUCUACUGCAGCUACGAUACACUGGAAUUCUGGAAACCAUCAAAAUACGUCAAAAAGGAUAUUCUCAUCGCAUUCUUUUUGAAGAGUUUGUGAAAAGGUAUUACUACCUUGCUUUCAAGGCACAUGAGUCUCCACUUGGCAACAGAGAAAACUGUCUGACCAUUCUGGAGAAAGCUAAACUAGAAAACUGGAUUCUUGGAAAAACCAAGGUUUUUCUAAAGUAUUACCAUAUAGAGCAAUUAAAUUUGUUCCUGCGAGAAGUUAUAGGGAGGGUGGUGGUCAUGCAGGCUUAUAUCAAGGGAUGGCUUGGAGCAAGGAGGUAUAAGAAAGUCAAAGAAAAAAGAGAAAAUAGUGCUGUUACCAUACAGUCAGCUUGGAGAGGAUAUGAAGCUCGCAGGAAGUACAAGGAAAUAAGGAACAGAAGAAAUAAUGCUGCUAUACAUAUUCAAGCAGAUCAGUUACAGCACUUUUACUGCGUAAGCAAUGCUCAGUCACUCUCAUUUACUGAUAUGAGAGGGACCAGAAUCACUAGCCCCUUGGGUCCUUUUCUUGAAGAGGCUUAUAUGUGUUAUCUUACUGUAGGUUCAGAAAACUGUCUUGAACAGAAGCUGAGAACACCUCGUCGACGAUGUCAGCAGCCCAAAAUGCUGAAUAGCCCUGAGGACAACAUGUACUAUAACCAGUUAAAUGGAACUCUAGAAUAUCAAGGGAGCAAGAGGAAGCCAAGAAAACUUGGCCAAAUCAAAGUGCUUGAUGGAGAGGAUGAGUAUUACAAAUCACUGUCAGCUGUUGAAUCUAUCCCUGAAGAUGACAGCUGUCUCAGUUCCCCAUCUCCUCCUUCUUCAAGAGGAGUGUCUUUUGCUCAAAGCUGAACUUAUUCUGUUUACUAACACUGGUAAGAGUAUUUUCUUGCUGGUAAUCUCUUCUAAUUAACUUUGUGCUUGCUUAUGUAAUCCAUUUAAAAAAAUACACAUUCAGUUAGCAACUUCCUUUCAGUAAUUUAGAUCUGGUUUUGCAGAUACAAAUUGUAUUUCUAUAAGCAAUUCCAGUAAAGGAAGCAGCACUACCUGUACGUGUUGAUGUUGUUAACCAGCACAUUUCCUUAGCAGCAAGGUUAGUUCACGCAGAUCCAGCUCCUUCCUCCCCACUCCCCCAGCUGCUGUUUCCAGCUUGUGCCAUCCCGUCUGUUGUGCUGGCACAACUGCUGUGUGGAAAAUAAGAUCAAGGAACUGAUCUAUAUUAGAAGAACACUGUACUAAAAAGCAUCUUUUGGGGUUGUGGUGAAAAUGUUCUGUAUUUCCUUAGUCUAAUAUUAAAACUCUAUCAUUUAUAACUUUCUAUGCUGUGAAUGGUUUUUAACAUUACAAAAAUGUACAGAGUAAAUUCAUCUAAAGUAAUGCAUGUCUUAAUUUACCUCGUAAGUAUUUUUCUUAUGACGUAUUAGUUUGCCAUAAGUUUAACUAGAAAAACUAUUUCACAUAUAAGAAGCAAAACAGUUUUAAUGCUAACAUUAGACGAUUUCAGAUUGCUUCAUAUAGUCCUUUUGACUGAAACCAUCGUUAUGACUAGGUAUUCUUGUUAUCUGUGCAAGUAUCUUAUAUCUUUCUUAACCUGGGCUUAAUCUCUGUGCUUGAGGGAUUCCUCCACUUCCACAGCUCUUUUGUAUGUAACAUGAAAUAACGUCACCUACAAAUUUUUCAACUUGCUUUUCACUUUUUUUCCAAAUUCCUAGUGAAAACAUUGUUAAUUCCUAUGGAACAGAGACACUUUGCUGGUAACAACUUCUGUGGAAAAGCUGACUACUUUGCUUUACUUUCAGCUACUACUUUUGCUUUACUUUCACCCGUGGUUUUGAUCUGUGACAAUUCUGUCUUUCUUUUCUGUACAUCUCUUGUAAAAAACUUUUGGAAAUAAAAUUUUCUUAUGUGUACUGCCUUAAAAAAUC